Long non-coding RNA from Ictalurus punctatus (channel catfish), 1311 nucleotides. NCBI's taxonomy places the organism in Eukaryota, Metazoa, Chordata, Actinopteri, Siluriformes, Ictaluridae. The record is from Ensembl.
GAAAGAGUGAGAGCAUGAUAAAGACAGAGAGCUGUGUGGGAGAAGGUAUGCGUGUGACAGAGGGAAUGUCAGACACAAGGUUGGAGAAGCAUAGAGAAGGCAUGAAAUCAGAAUGAGAAAAAAGCAGCAUGUAACAGUGUGGAGGUCACGUCAGACGCAGAGAAAGGCUCCUCUCACUUAUCCCUUCCUCAUCAAAGCUAACUCACAGAACUGACAGACCACAGAAGAUCCCAGUCCUCUGCUUCAGCCCCUCCGAGGGACUCGUCCGAAUUUGCUGAGUUUUCACAAUGUCAUCGUUCAAUGAGGACGAUUCAUUUACCCACAAAUCUCAUGGAAAUGUUUGCACACAGACACACAGGAGAUUUCCUUCAUUGAUUCCAACUCGCUCAUCCGAAUUGUCCUCUUACAAUAGAUUACUCAGUAUUAUUCAGUGAAAAUAAGUAGGAAUUUUUGUAUGAGGGGCUCAGAAUUUAUGACCUGCUCACUAAUACUACAUUAACGUUAUCAAGUGCUGGGUUUUAGACAGAAUUGAUUUGAACUAAUGCUUUCUUCACCUUGCUACAUAAGUCUUCAUUAGCCAAAACUCCUGACUUCACACUAACCCGCUGUCAAUACACACCAAGCCUUUAUUAAUAUCCUCCCAUUUGCCAAAGGCAGAGCACAGCUCUUCCUCCCUCAGCCUGGCCUUAAUCUCACCUCUGUCAUGAUACCAAUCUGGACAGACUGAAUACCGCUGUCCUGAUGCAGUUCCAUUAGAGAUGGGUCUGAAUGCAAUCCUAUUAAAGACGCCGCUAAUCUCAAAAACGUUUGGCUGGAUAGACAAGUAAGCAAAAAAAGAAAGUAGGCUCUUAGAAACACAAUGCCUGAACAUUCACGUGAAAUAGACUGAGGUUGAGGUAUUGAUCUGAAUAAUCGAGCCAAUUAUUACGUCUUUUAUUAUUUCCUUUUCUUCUCAGUACACAGAACUUGUCAGGCAUUUCAGCGAAAUUGUUACACCUAAUCAGGUAAACGUGUCUUACUUACUGUUCCUUUAUCCAAAUAAUUACUCAGUACUCUUGAGUUUGUACCAGAAAGGAAAGUAGGAGCUUUAAAAGAAUGUAUUAACACUUAAAAGUAAUGAAUUUACAGAUGCGUGUUAAUAUAUAAAGAUGAUAAAUGUACUCUAUAUUAAAGUUAGUGAGUAUUGAAGUAACACGAGUUAAAAUUCAAACCAGUUCAGUGGUUGACUACAGGCUAGUACGCGGUGCGCUCGCCGCUGUGGAACCAACCCCAGCCACUGGAGGGUCGCACGAGUCAGCGCGCACUCAGGGC